GCUUUAAGAUGAGCUUACGAAGGAUUAGGUAGUUGGUACGGGUAAAAGCCUACCAAGCCGACGAUCCUUAGCUGGUCUGAGAGGACGGUCAGCCACACUGGAACUGAGACAAGGUCCAGGCUUAAAGCCAGCAGUGAGGAAUCUUGGACAAUGAGCGAAAGCUUGAUCCAGUAAUACUGCGUGAAUGAGGAAAGCAAAAAAGAUUUAUUAGAUUAAUUUCUUAUAAAUCGGUUGUAAAAUUCUUUCACUGAUGAGGAUAAUGACUGUAAUCAGAGAAGAAGCCCCGGCUAACUUCGUGCCAGCAGCCGCGGUAAUACGAAGGGGGCGAGCGUUAUUCGGAAUGAUUGGGCGUAAAGAGUUCGUAGGCUGUAAUUGUGGUUAUUAGUAAAAUACUAAGUUUAUUGCUUAGAAAUGCUUAUAAAACUCUUUUACUUGAGUGUGAUAGAGGAUAACAGAAUUUCAUGCAUAGGAGUAAAAUCCGAUAAUUCAUGAAGGAAUGUCAGUGGCGAAGGCGGUUAUCUGGAUCAUUACUGACGCUGAGGAACGAAAGCGUGGGGAGCAAACAGGAUUAGAUACCCUGGUAGUCCACGCUGUCAAAGAU
This 601-nucleotide ribosomal RNA is filed under the name uncultured bacterium. Its description in RNAcentral is "bacterial SSU rRNA". It matches the Rfam family "Bacterial small subunit ribosomal RNA", at positions 217 to 810 of the family's 1533-position model. The record is from RNAcentral.